This 587-nucleotide ribosomal RNA is filed under the name Fusarium sp. NRRL 43726. RNAcentral describes it as "eukaryotic LSU rRNA". It matches the Rfam family "Eukaryotic large subunit ribosomal RNA", at positions 1 to 598 of the family's 3401-position model. Lineage: Eukaryota; Fungi; Ascomycota; Sordariomycetes; Hypocreales; Nectriaceae. The record is from RNAcentral.
UUGACCUCGGAUCAGGUAGGAAUACCCGCUGAACUUAAGCAUAUCAAUAAGCGGAGGAAAAGAAACCAACAGGGAUUGCCCUAGUAACGGCGAGUGAAGCGGCAACAGCUCAAAUUUGAAAUCUGGCUCUCGGGCCCGAGUUGUAAUUUGUAGAGGAUGCUUUUGGCAAGGUGCCUUCCGAGUUCCCUGGAACGGGACGCCAUAGAGGGUGAGAGCCCCGUCUGGUUGGACACCGAGCCUCUGUAAAGCUCCUUCGACGAGUCGAGUAGUUUGGGAAUGCUGCUCUAAAUGGGAGGUAUAUGUCUUCUAAAGCUAAAUACUGGCCAGAGACCGAUAGCGCACAAGUAGAGUGAUCGAAAGAUGAAAAGCACUUUGAAAAGAGAGUUAAAAAGCACGUGAAAUUGUUGAAAGGGAAGCGCUCAUGACCAGACUUGGGCUUGGUUGAUCAUCCGGCGUUCUCGCCGGUGCACUCUUCCAGUUCAGGCCAGCAUCAGUUUGCCCCGGGGGAUAAAAGCUUCGGGAAUGUGGCUCCUUCGGGAGUGUUAUAGCCCGUUGCAUAAUACCCUGAGGCAGACUGAGGACCGCGC